Lagopus muta (rock ptarmigan) is the source of this 2073-nucleotide long non-coding RNA. RefSeq lists it as uncharacterized. The transcript is spliced from 5 exons. Lineage: Eukaryota; Metazoa; Chordata; Aves; Galliformes; Phasianidae. The record is from RefSeq and is a predicted model, not a curated record.
GUUCUACAGGUAUGGAGCUUCAUGUUUCUUGCUAUGCCCUUAGAACAAAUCUUUCACUGAAUGGUGGAAAUAAGGAGGCACUGGUUUCAAUCACCUACUCAGAAAAAAGAAGGAAGAAUGAAGAAUUAUAGAAGAGCUGAAGUUGGAAGGCACCUCAAAGAUCCUCCAGUUCCAGCCACCAUACCAAGGGCAGAGUUGCCACCUACUAAAUCAGGCUGCUCAGGGCCCUAACCAACCUGGCCUGGAAGGUUGAAAGGCUGGUCGGUUUUAACCUUGUAAGGCUGGAAAUGGUCACAUAAGUAGUCUGAAAGCAAAAUGCUGCAUCCCAAUUUUGAUCAAAAAUAAUAUAUUUUUUUAAUUCGAGCAGAAAAGCUCAUCAUCUCAUUUAGAUUUCAUGAAAAUGUUUUACAACAAAAUGAAGUUUUUCUUAUCCCUCAGAAUCAGUUCAACCUUGAAACCAGAUUUGAUUAUUUUUCUGCUUUUAGCAACUCUUGUUCUAUCAAAGGAUCACUGAACAACAGGUUUAAUGUUUGCUGCUCAGAACUGAAAUGACAAUGAAAACUAAUCCCAUACAUCGAUGGAUGCUGGAACAAUGGAGAGAAAGUUGUCCAUUUUGACAGACAUUUUCUCAACCACUAUUUUUCUGACCCGUACUUCAAGCCCAUCAACUGCCGACUUCUCAGCACAAAGAAUCCAGAAGCAGUGCCAUGAGUCCAUACACUCAAGCCAUGCAUAAGAAUUUGCAAGAAGAGAGAAAAUGUCUACAGAUUAAUUUAUUUGGAUUUAUUUGGUCAGCGGUAAUAACAUUUCAGCAUCCAAGCAGAAUAGAGAUUGAUGACAAAGAAAAAACAUGUAAAAAACAAAUGCAAUGGACACAUUGAUCCAUCCCCACAGUGCAUGUAUGGAUGCAAGACUUUUGUGCUAGUUCUGAGUUGUACAUCCACUUAGCAUCCUGCUGAAAUUCUAGGCUGACUCUGAAGCUGUUGUUGACCAGCUGGUUAGCAUCAUCUUUCUACAUGCUGUGACCACACUGAACCUGCUUACAAGGGAACAUCAGAGUGCAAGAAACAUAAGACUCAAGGCAACACUAGUUUUGUACUUCAUCCUGUAUCUCACAUUAGCAAGAACUGGACAUUUCAGAGGAAAAUAUAAGAUACAAGAAUCAUAGAUGCACACUUUGUCCUAGUAUAUCUCGUUAUGCUUUGGCAUAGGCCAAAGGAUAAAAGAGGAAAGGGAAAAUAAUCCAUUAAGAUGUGGUUGAGUAAAUCGUUUCAUGUGCACUUAAAUACUGAUGCCUUGUCUAAGCAGGAGGAGAAUAACUGAAGGCUAUGAAUGUACAGUGGGUUUGGUUCUGGAUUUCUUAACUUCAAUAAAAUCUCAUUGAGAUCUCCUUUCACACCAGUGUUCUUUGUGGACGAGCCUUGAGAAGUCUUACAGGAAGGACCUGGCUCAGGAAAAAUUCUUUCUUAAUCAGUUGUGGGAAAAAAGAAAAAAAACAACAAACAGUUUUGUGGCGAAGUUACACCAUACCUAGUGGAUGACUGUGAAAUGCCAACUUUAUGUGAAACAUAAUUAUGUGCCACAUGUGGAAAAGCACCAUCAGCAACAUUGAUGAAGUGCAAGCAGUCAUCUGAAUUUAGUCUGUCACUUCUUGAUGAACAUGACAGCUUUAUGAUUAUUAAGAUAAUGGCUGAAAUCCGUUGUACCAUGAAAAUGCCACUCAUUACACUCCACCAACUUCAAUUUUGUGCCUUGUUUUCAAAGGCACUGUGUAUCAGGGUGCAUCUCUGCUUUGAAGAGCUGUGCCAUUACCUCCUGGGUAACAAGGAGAAGAAAAUGAAUAGAGGCUGACAUAUGAAGUGCCAUUAUAGGAAAAUGGCUGAUUAUUAGCUUGUGCUUGCUAGUGGAUUUACAGAGCUUAGAUCUGUACAAAAAACUCAGAAACCCAGUGAGUGGCUCAAAUUUCAGAUGCAAGUUGGAAGCCCAUCAGUACCCACAUAAUUGUUACUGGAGUCCCCAUGGGUCUCCAGGCUUGGACUUCCUUUGCAAUGACUUGGUUGAUCUGGAAGCAGC